RNAcentral lists this transfer RNA (85 nucleotides) under Candidatus Zixiibacteriota bacterium. Its description in RNAcentral is "tRNA-Ser". It matches the Rfam family "tRNA". Rfam says of the family: Transfer RNA (tRNA) molecules are approximately 80 nucleotides in length. The record is from RNAcentral. RNAcentral also lists the same sequence under 1 other name. Lineage: Bacteria; Pseudomonadati; Candidatus Zixiibacteriota.
GGAGAGGUGCCGGAGCGGUCGAACGGGGCGGUCUCGAAAACCGUUGAACCUUCGGGUUCCCAGGGUUCGAAUCCCUGCCUCUCCG